Molecule: ribosomal RNA, 460 nt
Filed under: uncultured bacterium
Lineage: Bacteria
Description: partial 16S ribosomal RNA
Rfam family: Bacterial small subunit ribosomal RNA
Source: RNAcentral
CCUACGGGGGGCUGCAGUGAGGAAUAUUGGUCAAUGGACGCAAGUCUGAACCAGCCAUGCCGCGUGCAGGAAGAAGGUUCUAUGAGUUGUAAACUGCUUUUGUCCGAGGGCAAACGCUGAUACGCGUACCCGGCUGAAAGUAUCGUACGAAUAAGGAUCGGCUAACUCCGUGCCAGCAGCCGCGGUAAUACGGAGGAUUCAAGCGUUAUCCGGAUUUAUUGGGUUUAAAGGGUGCGUAGGCGGUCGGAUAAGUUAGAGGUGAAAUCCCGGGGCUCAACUUCGGAAUUGCCUUUGAUACUGGUCGGCUAGAGAGUGGUUGCGGUAGGCGGAAUGUAUGGUGUAGCGGUGAAAUGCUUAGAGAGCGUACAGAACACCGAUUGCGAAGGCAGCUUGCCAAGCUACUUCUGACGUUGAGGCACGAAAGCGUGGGGAGCAAACAGGAUUAGAUACCCUGGUAGUC